AGCAGCCGCGGUAAUUCCAGCUCCAAUAGCGUAUAUUAAAGUUGUUGCAGUUAAAAAGCUCGUAGUUGAAUUUCGGGGUUAGCAGGUCGGUCGUGCCAUUGGUAUGAACUGGUCUCGCUGAUCCCUCCCUCUUGACGAACUGUGAUGCCAUUAAUUUGGUGUCGCAGGGAAUCAGGACUGUUACUUUGAAAAAAUUAGAGUGUUUAAAGCAGGCUCACGCUUGAAUACAUUAGCAUGGAAUAAUGAAAUAGGACGUUUGAUCCUAUUUUGUUGGCUUCUAGGAUUGACGUAAUGAUUAAUAGGGAUAGUUGGGGGCAUUAGUAUUCAAUUGUCAGAGGUGAAAUUCUUGGAUUUAUUGAAGACUAACUACUGCGAAAGCAUUUGCCAAGGAUGUUUUCAUUAAUCAAGAACGAAAGUUAGGGGAUCGAAGACGAUCAGAUACCGUCGCAGUCUUAACCAUAAACUAUGCCGACUAGGGAUCGGAUGAUGUUAAUUUUUUAAUGACUCAUUCGGCGCCUUA
This 520-nucleotide unclassified non-coding RNA is filed under the name uncultured Glomus. Its description in RNAcentral is "SSU rRNA". It matches the Rfam family "Eukaryotic small subunit ribosomal RNA", at positions 569 to 1090 of the family's 1831-position model. The record is from RNAcentral. Lineage: Eukaryota; Fungi; Glomeromycota; Glomeromycetes; Glomerales; Glomeraceae.